GCCUGAACUCACAGUGGCAACCAGCUUGGGUCUGCUCCCACGCUGUUGGGGCGGGGGCGGGGGGGGGGUUGUUCUUUUGCUCCUUGGGUCCACACUGCGUUUAUGAGCUGUAAUAUUCACCGCAAAGGUCUGCAGCUUCACUACUAAGCCAACGAGACCACAAACCCACCAGGAGGAACGACAAUUCCAGACGCGUGGCUUUAACAGCUGUUAACACUCACCGCGAAGGUCUGUAGCUUCAUUUCUGAGUCAGCGAGACCACGAACCCACCAGAAAGAAGAAACUCCGAACACACCCGAACCUCAGAAGGAACAAAUUCCGGACACGCCGCCUUUAAGAACUGUAACACUCACCACAAGGGUCCGCGGCUUCAUUCUUGAAGUCAGUGAGACCAAGAACCCACUAAUUCCGGACACACUUUGACCAGCAGAGCAGGCAGAAGUAAAGCCACGGUUCACAGAAGUGACCUGGGAGAAGCAGCAGCCCCGGGAGAGGCUUAACUAGCAGAGCACUGAGGCCCACCGACAGCCAUGUGCAUGAGCUUGGAAGCACAUCUCCCCAACCCACCCCAGUCAAGCCUGCAGAUGAGACCUCAGCUGCAGCUGACAACUCGGCUACAACUUUGUGAGAGACCUGGAGCCAAAAGCACCUAGCUAAGCUGUGCCUGUAUUUCUGACCCACAGAAACUCUGAGAUUGUUCCAGCUUUUGCCAGUGGAAGCCCCUCCAAGAUGGAGAAGCUCUACUUUAAAUUCCAGGCCCCUAAGGAAAGCCUCUGGAUCUCCAGGCCUGCCCCCUAUCUCUACAGCCCAGAGGAGGUGACAUUAACCAGUGCAUCUGAGUGGUGCAGAGGAAAACUGACUUUGAUGUCCAUAUAAACCCAGUGCCCAGGUCAUGUCUGUUCUCCACUGGCAAUGGGCUGAGCAGAGCCAAGUUCUCAGUUAACUUCCCCAGCCCUCCCUCCUGCCUAACUCCAUUCCCACCCCCGACUUGAACUUCCUAAAGGCAGUGAGUGAGAUUAAAGGCUUGAUCAAUGAAAACUAUUAUUAUUGUUUACUCCUGAGCCUUCUGAUGUUAUUGCAUUGCAAGAAAGCUGUCUGGGCCUCCACCAGGAAUAAUAACACAACCUUUCUUCCAGUUUGGGA
This 1143-nucleotide long non-coding RNA is filed under the name Homo sapiens (human). RNAcentral describes it as "HSALNT0365283". Lineage: Eukaryota; Metazoa; Chordata; Mammalia; Primates; Hominidae. The record is from RNAcentral.